RNAcentral lists this ribosomal RNA (429 nucleotides) under Chloroflexota bacterium. RNAcentral describes it as "Chloroflexi bacterium partial 16S ribosomal RNA". It matches the Rfam family "Bacterial small subunit ribosomal RNA", at positions 355 to 776 of the family's 1533-position model. Lineage: Bacteria; Bacillati; Chloroflexota. The record is from RNAcentral.
UGGGGAAUAUUGCAUAAUGGGCGCAAGCCUGAUGCAGCCAUGCCGCGUGUGUGAAGAAGGCCUUCGGGUUGUAAAGCACUUUCAGCGGGGAGGAAGGCGAUAAGGUUAAUAACCUUGUCGAUUGACGUUACCCGCAGAAGAAGCACCGGCUAACUCCGUGCCAGCAGCCGCGGUAAUACGGAGGGUGCAAGCGUUAAUCGGAAUUACUGGGCGUAAAGCGCACGCAGGCGGUCUGUCAAGUCGGAUGUGAAAUCCCCGGGCUCAACCUGGGAACUGCAUUCGAAACUGGCAGGCUAGAGUCUUGUAGAGGGGGGUAGAAUUCCAGGUGUAGCGGUGAAAUGCGUAGAGAUCUGGAGGAAUACCGGUGGCGAAGGCGGCCCCCUGGACAAAGACUGACGCUCAGGUGCGAAAGCGUGGGGAGCAAACAGG